This 426-nucleotide ribosomal RNA is filed under the name uncultured bacterium. RNAcentral's name for it is "bacterial SSU rRNA". It matches the Rfam family "Bacterial small subunit ribosomal RNA", at positions 355 to 773 of the family's 1533-position model. The record is from RNAcentral.
UGGGGAAUAUUGGACAAUGGGCGAAAGCCUGAUCCAGCCAUGCCGCGUGUGUGAAGAAGGUCUUCGGAUUGUAAAGCACCUUAAGUUGGGAGGAAGGGCGUUAACCUAAUACGUUGGUGUCUUGACGUUACCGACAGGAUAAGCACCGGCUAACUCUGUGCCAGCAGCCGCGGUAAUACAGAGGGUGCAAGCGUUAAUCGGAAUUACUGGGCGUAAAGCGCGCGUAGGUGGUUCGUUAAGUUGGCUGUGAAAUCCCGGGGCUCAACCUGGGAACUGCAUUGAAAACUGACGUGCUAGAUUGUAGUAGAGGAUGGUGGAAUUUCCUGUGUAGCGGUGAAAUGCGUAGAUAUACGAAGGACUCCCAGUGGCGAAGGCGACCACCUGGACUGAUACUGACACUGAGGUGCGAAAGCGUGGGGAGCAAAC